RNAcentral lists this ribosomal RNA (417 nucleotides) under uncultured bacterium. RNAcentral's name for it is "bacterial SSU rRNA". It matches the Rfam family "Bacterial small subunit ribosomal RNA", at positions 354 to 786 of the family's 1533-position model. The record is from RNAcentral.
UGGGAAGAUAUUGCACAAUGGGCGCAAGCCUGAUGCAGCAACGCCGCGUGAGUGAUGAAGGCUUUCGAGUCGUAAAGCUCUUUGAUCAGGGACGAUAAUGACGGUACCUGAAAAACCAAGCCACGGCUAACUACGUGCCAGCAGCCGCGGUAAUACGUAGGUGGCGAGCGUUGUCCGGAAUUACUGGGCGUAAAGGAUGCGUAGGUGGAUAUUUAAGUGGGAUGUGAAAUCCCUGGGGCUCAACCCAGGAAUGGCAUUCCAAACUGGAUAUCUGGAGUGCAGGAGAGGAAAGCGGAAUUCCUAGUGUAGCGGUGAAAUGCGUAGAUAUUAGGAGGAACACCAGUGGCGAAGGCGGCUUACUGGACGGUAACUGACGUUGAGGCUCGAAAGCGUGGGGAGCAAACAGGAUUAGAUACC